Esox lucius (northern pike) is the source of this 626-nucleotide long non-coding RNA. The record is from Ensembl. Lineage: Eukaryota; Metazoa; Chordata; Actinopteri; Esociformes; Esocidae.
GUUGGUUUUGUCUUAUUUCCCGUGUCUGUAGCUAGCUAUGCAGCUACUGUAGGUACCUAACGUCGAGUUAAAGUGUACUCCAUUUGGCUAUGUGCACAUCUACCUACUUGGGUGCUUUGGUUAUACAGUCGUAUUUAAUGUUACACUUCUCAACUUAAAAAAAAUUAUAAUCAUUGGUGCCCUUACAUACGGCGACGAUAAAUGCGGUUUCAUUGCGCUUAGUCGCUAAUUUUGGUUAACUUCCGAGAUCGUUUCAGAACUCCGUUGUCCCCGUGUAAAGUGGAGGAAGAAGCGUAUGCGCAGGCUGAAGCGUAAAAGGCGAAAGAUGAGGCAGAGGUCCAAGUAGACUGACCCCCAUUUCCUGCUGCUGUGAUCCCCUCCCAAGCCCUCUGAAGCCUGCGGUCCUUGUGCCACAGCCGGUCCAAGGUUGUCUAAAGCUGACCUCACUGCAACUGACUAAAGGACUGAUCGUGGCUACCCAGCCCUCUAGUUUGCCAAUGGUGUAUUGCUGUCUUGACUACUGGAGUAUGCGGAGAACUUGAAUUCCCAUGUCAAACUCUGGAUUGUCCACCUUCCUAGAACAGCUGAUUUGGAAAGACUAAAAUAAAUCUUUGGUUUACUAAUUA